GACGAACGCUGGCGGCGUGCUUAACACAUGCAAGUCGAACGAUGACGACCGAGCUUGCUCGGUCUGAUUAGUGGCGAACGGGUGAGUAACACGUGAGCAACCUGCCCUUCACUCUGGGAUAACCCCGGGAAAUCGGGGCUAAUACCGGAUAUGAGCUCCUGUCGCAUGGCGGGCGUUGGAAAGUUGUUCGGUGACUGUUGGGUUGGCGGCCUAUCGGUUUGUUGGUGAGGUAGUGGCUCACCAAGGCGAUGACGGGUAGCCAGCCUGAGCCGGCGAGCGGCGACGCUGGGACUGAGAGACGGCCCAGGCUGCGACGGGAGGCAGAAGGGGGGAAGAUUGCAGGAUGGGCGAAAGGCUGGUGAAGAGGGGCCGCGGGAGGGAAGACGGCCUUAGGGUUGUAAAACACAUUCAGCAGGGAAGAAGCGAAAGUGGCGGUACCUGAAGAAGAAGCGCCGGGUAACUACGGGC
This 468-nucleotide ribosomal RNA is filed under the name uncultured bacterium. RNAcentral describes it as "partial 16S ribosomal RNA". It matches the Rfam family "Bacterial small subunit ribosomal RNA", at positions 28 to 508 of the family's 1533-position model. The record is from RNAcentral.